This 546-nucleotide ribosomal RNA is filed under the name uncultured bacterium. Its description in RNAcentral is "bacterial SSU rRNA". It matches the Rfam family "Bacterial small subunit ribosomal RNA", at positions 354 to 896 of the family's 1533-position model. The record is from RNAcentral.
UUAAAGAAUAUUCCGCAAUGGACGAAAGUCUGACGGAGCGACGCCGCGUGGAUGAAGAAUGCCGAAAGGUUGUAAAAUCCUUUUAAGCCUGAUGAAUAAGUACAAUAGGGAAUGAUUGUGCGGUGACCGUAGGGCUUGAAUAAGCACCGGCUAAUUACGUGCCAGCAGCCGCGGUAACACGUAAGGUGCGAGCGUUGUUCGGAAUUAUUGGGCGUAAAGGGCAUGUAGGCGAAUAGGCAAGCUUGGUGUGAAAUGUUACAGCUUAACUGUGAGACAGCAUUGAGAACUGCAGAUCUUGAAUUACUGAAGGGUAACCAGAAUUCCACGUGUAGGGGUGAAAUCUGUAGAUAUGUGGAAGAAUACCAAUGGCGAAGGCAGGUUACCGGCAGAUAAUUGACGCUGAGGUGCGAAAGUGCGGGGAGCGAACAGGAUUAGAUACCCUGGUAGUCCGCACCGUAACGAUGUACACUAGGUGUCUGGCAUAACAGCUGGGUGCCAAAGCAAACGUGAUAAGUGUACCGCCUGGGGAGUAUGCCCGCAAGGGUG